Molecule: ribosomal RNA, 846 nt
Filed under: Triticum aestivum (bread wheat)
Lineage: Eukaryota; Viridiplantae; Streptophyta; Magnoliopsida; Poales; Poaceae
Description: partial small subunit ribosomal RNA
Source: RNAcentral
AUGACGUGUGUGUUUAUCUCUGCCUUUUUUUACAUGCAGGGGAAGCCUGUUUUCGAGAAUACACGAUCACGCCGAUGCAAUUGUCCAGCGCUAAUCAGAUUGCUGAGAUUGGAGGACAACGGAUGGUACAUAGCGGAGCACAGGGAGAAGCACAACCAUUCGCUGUCUCCAAACUGCGGGGAGACCAUACACUGGCCUUCGCACAAGCGUAUAGAUGCUUACAGCAAGGAUUUGGUGAAGCAGUUGAAGCAGAACAUUUUUAACCUAAGCAAAAUUUACAGCAUAAUUGGUAGUUUUUUUGGUACGAUGGAGGAGGUCCCCUUCACGAAGCGAUCAUUGAAGACAUUAUGCGGGAAGUUAGGACCUGAGCAGGCAGAUGGUGAUGUGAGGAAGACAAUGAAAGUCUUCAAGGAGUUGGGUGCAAACGAUCCACACUUCACGUACCGAGUGCAGGCCGACGGGGAAGGGCGGAUAAAGGGCCUGAUGUGGACCAAUGGAAGCAGCCGGUUGCAGUAUAGUUUUUUCGGGGAUGCGGUUACAUUCGAUACGACCUACAGGACCACUCUGUACGAUAUGAUGUUCGGUUUGUUUGUGGGCGUAAACAACCAUUUCCACAGUGUGCUCCUGGCCGGGGUGCUGAUCAGAGACGAGACCGUAGAAAGCUUCGAGUGGGUUUUUUCAGAGUUCUUACAUAUGAUGGGUGGGGCUGCUCCGAAAACGAUACUAACAGGUAAAAAAUAUACGGAGCACGUAUGUGAUAGUUGUGUAACUGAUGUCAAACUUAUUUAUGGAAGAGCACAUGCCCAACUGAUUUUGUAUUCUUUAUGCAACUGCAGACCAAAUUAG